CCUACGGGUGGCAGCAGUGGGGAAUAUUGCACAAUGGGGGCAACCCUGAUGCAGCAACGCCGCGUGAAGGAAGACGGCUUUCGGAUUGUAAACUUCUGUUCUUAGUGAAGAAUAAUGACGGUAGCUAAGGAGCAAGCCACGGCUAACUACGUACCAGCAGCCGCGGUAAUACGUAGGGGCCAAGCGUUUUCCGGAAUUACUGGGUGUAACGGGAGCGCAGGCGGGUAGCCAAGUCAGCUGUGAAAACUACGGGCUUAACUUGUAGAUUGCAGUUGAAACUGGUUUUCUGGAGUGAAGUAGAGGUAGGCGGAAUUCCUAGUGUAGCGGUGAAAUGCGUAGAUAUUAGGAGGAACACCGGUGGCGAAGGCGGCCAACUGGGCUGUAACUGACGCUGAGGCUCGAAAGUGUGGGGAGCAAACAGGAUUAGAUACCCUAGUAGUC
RNAcentral lists this ribosomal RNA (441 nucleotides) under uncultured bacterium. RNAcentral's name for it is "partial 16S ribosomal RNA". It matches the Rfam family "Bacterial small subunit ribosomal RNA", at positions 338 to 795 of the family's 1533-position model. The record is from RNAcentral.